AUAACCAUUCUGAAAGAAAAAUGAAGCGUUCAAUAUAGUAUCAGACAAGGUGAAACCAAUAUUUGCCUGGUGGGGCAGGCGCGAUUGACCAACGAAUAGUAUUUGCGUAUAACGCAGUUAGUUUACUGACUAAUUACAUUUUACCUGCUUACAACAUCAACUCGUCUUACUCUUUGUUAUUUGUACACAUAUUUCAUUCGACAAUUAUAACUUUUUCAUUCUCAAAUUAAUCAAAUUCAAUAAAACUGUCAAUUUUUUUUUUGCUAGAAAAAUUUAAUUUUUUGUGUCGCACCGGAAUAAAAAUGAGACGUGGAUCAGUGAGCACAUGGGAGCCUUGGGCUCGUCGUAAUUCAUCUACCAUGGCACAGUUUUCAAGUAAUCGACAAGAAUUUAUGACUAGUGAACCUGGAACAAAUGGAAUAGAGUAUCAGAGAGAAGGGGGAUUUUUUUUAUCCCAUAGAAAGCUUGCAAUUGCUAUCACCGUCAUUUUUCUUCUUCUCGUUGCAGUAGGAUUUGUUGGAGUUUAUUCUGGAGCUGUUCCUCGCAAAAAGGUAUACGAUACAACGGCUCUGAUAGCUGAAGAUGAAGGAUCAGAGCCUGCUGAUGCUAACAAAUAUUUUCUUUCUACUUCUGUAUUUCCCUCGAGGUAUCUUGUAAAAUUGACGCCGAUUGUUGAGGAUAAUGAGGUCUCAAGGGUUCGGGGCCAAGUCAUUAUAGAGUUUCGGUACAAUGGAACCAUGGAUCUUCAACACAUUGUCCUCAAUGCGAAAAGCAUGAACAUUACAAAGAUAAGACUAUGGCCUGAAGAUAAGAAUAUAGGAAUUUUAAAAUGGAGAAUGAAUUUUGAUAACAAGAAUCUAGCAAUGAAUGUUUUCUCAUUAGAAAAUGGUACUACCUUUGGAAACACGUUUUUAUUAUUUUCAACCAAUUUUUUACAUCAGAUACUUAUUAAUGUUGUUUAUAAUUCAAUUAAAGAUCCAAAUAAUUUGACUACUCUUGAUAAUCAAUUUGAUAAUCAAAGUGUUUCUGCAAUUUUAUCGGAAUCAUCAAAAGACCUGUCAGAUGCACCAAUUCCUUCGAACACUUCUGAACCAGUGAUUCAUGAGAUUAAUAUCACUAAGAGCGACGUUGAUGAACAACAUGGAAUCCUCAUGAUUAAUCCUAGCUCACCUAUCAAGCCAGGAAUCUAUUUGAUUGAAAUGGAUUUUGAAUCUUAUACUGACAGCCGUACUUUUCUUGUAGCUAAUUUCAGCGAUGAAGAUACUGAAAGCUGGUUAAUGGUGAGUCGAUUGAAACCCAUUAAUGCUCGACGAUUAUUUCCAAUCUUUGAUGAUGUCAAGCUAAAAGCUCAAUUUACAGUUUCCUUCACACAUCCUAAAAAUAUGAUUGUUUUGGCAAAUACUCCACUCAAUAGUACUUUUGAUAAUUUAUCUGAUAGUUGGAUAAUUGAUACGUUUGAGGAGACACCAUUGAUUUCUCCUCAUAGUCUUGCUUUAGCUCUGGGUCAUCUGAUAUCUGUUGGAAUGACAAAAGUAGGAAAAUACAAAAUACCGGUUAAUUUUUGGAGUCAAGUCGGUGAAAGUGUCGUACCAAAUUAUUUAUUAAAAGUGAUUGGUUUAGUUGUGGAUGCAUUUGAAGAGUUAUUUGCAGUAGCCUUCCCGAUAUCUAAAUUAGAUAUUAUUUGUGUUCCAUUCGCUGAUAACAGCGGUAAUUUAGGAUUAAUAUCAAUAACAGAAAAUUUAUUCAAUGUUACUGAAUCAUCGCCCGGUAUUACUCGAUAUGAGGCAUUGAAAACAAUAAUUAGACUAAUUGGUCGACAAUGGUUAGGGAGUCUCGUCAAUUCACGAAAUUGGACGGAUGUUUGGAUUUUAGAGAGUUCUUUAAUUGAUCUCCAGCAUACUUUAAUUGAACAAAUAGAUCCCGUAUUUAAUCAUUCAACAUUUUUACUUGAUGUUCAACUGGAUGCUUUUGAAGCAGAUGGAUAUAGUGUAUCUCAGUCAUUAACGUCAAAAGUCAAUCCUGCUUACUUAGAAGCUUUCCAUCCGGAUAAAUUAUAUGAUAGAGGUGCAUGUCUCUUACGCAUGUUGCAUUACGUAUUGAAGCGGAAUAACUCUAGGACUGUCUACAGGAAGUUCGUUUCACGGUGGUCCAAUGGAAACGCAGAUGUUCAUUCAUUUUUAGAAGAGAUGACCUCUGAAUCAAAUAAUUUAUCUCAUAAUGUAAAUCUGAUUAAUGUAAUGGAAUCGUGGAUCAAUGGGCAUGGUUAUCCUGUGAUUGAAAUUAGCAGAGAUUAUGAUGCAGGUUCAGCGAAAAUUUAUCAAAAACACUUUGUAUUUGAUAAUAUAACAAACGAUGAUGAAAGCUCAUGGCAUAUUCCACUUACAUGGAUCAAUGAGGGAAAUGACUGGUCCUCUCCUUCUUUUGCGUGGAUUAAUGCAGCAAAGAAAGAGAUGAUAUUGGAAAAUGUUGGUGAUGUAGGAGAAAAAUCAUGGGUCAUUUUUAACAUAAAUUCUUCUGGUUAUUAUCGGGUUAAUUACGACAAUUAUAAUUGGAAAUUGAUUGCCAUGGCACUCGAAUUAAAUCCAUCGAUUUUUCCAUCAUCAGUAAAAGCCUCUCUUGUGGAUGAUGUGAUGAGUUUAUCGUUUGUUGGAUCGACAUCUUACGCUACCGCUUUUAGAAUAAUAAAUUAUUUGAAAAAUGAAACACAGCCUGAGCCUUGGACUGCGCUUAUGCGUCAUGUAAUCAAGUUGGAUCUUGUUUUAUAUGACACACCAGUUUAUCCAGACUAUCAGGAAUUCAUGAGAAAACUAACAUCAAGUCUGUUCAGCCGAGUAGGAACACAGGUUGAACGAGGAAGUAGAAUGACUUUGAUAGCACAUCAAUUGGGCUCAACUUUCGAGAAUUCUGAUUACAUUAAAUGGGCCAAGAAUAAUUAUGAGAGCUUAAGGACAUCUCAUGUGUGGAAAGACAGAUAUGUUGUUGCCACUUAUUUACGUGAAACACUACUUUGUACUUUUGCUAAAUUGGAAGACGAACUGGGUUGGCAAUGGUGGCAACAGAAAUUAGGAAACAUUACACGACGAGAUACUGAUAGAAAUUCCUUCUUGUCAUCUUUGGCUUGUUUUCAAGUUCCCUGGAUACUGAAAGCAGUUUUAAAUGAAAUUGUUCGUGGUGAUUUUUUUGAUGAAAAUGACGUUUUAAUUAUUCUCAAAGCUUUCGAUAAACAUCCAGUAUCUGCUCAAGUAGCAUUUAAAUUUGUUCAAAACAAUUGGGCGAAUAUUUUAAACAGAUUUCGAAAGUCAUAUCCUAUUCUUAGAGCAUUUGUUGGCUCUGUAGGUAGUGGUUUUACGAGUGAGAAAGAUCUUGCUGAUUUUCAGAAUUUUCGAGAUAAUAACUAUGAGAGUCUUAAGCCUGUUGGUUAUAUCACAGCAUUGGUAGAAGCAAGAGGAACCUCUUGGAUUUCAUUUCUUCAAAAAUCUCUGGCUGAUUUCCAGGAUAAUAUUCUCAAUUUAAAAGAAUGAACAUUGUUUGGGAGUUGCAGAGUAACAUGAUUAAUCAGCGUGUACGUAGGAAAUUUUUAAAAAUAAUAUUCUGAAGGAAAAAUUUUCAUAAGAAAGACGGUACCACGGUAUAUCUAAAAUACUUUUACAAACUUCAUCAGAGGUAACAAGAAAAUAAAACCAAUUUUCUACCACAAGUUUUAUUUUCGCAUGCUUCCAUCAAGCAUGAUUACAAAACCGAGCAACAAGAAUCUUGUUUUUUACUCUCACAUAAUUAUUUUAAUGACAUUACUUUUUUUAAUAGUAGGGGAAACCAGGCCAAGACCCUCCCUCCCUUUUGAGAAAAAAAUGUAAAAAUGUGUGAAAUUUUGACAUUUGAGUAUGGAAAAAAUAAAACCACAAAAUUCUUAAAUAGAACAUCUUGCCCCGAUUUCUCCUAUAUAUAUAUACAUAUACAUAUACUAUAUACAUAUAAAUCUAAUCAGAGUGUCAUUUGGGAACAUUUCUUAAGUACAAGGUAUUAUUUGAGAACAUUUGUAUAGUUUGGGGACAGUCCCAAAAAAAAUCAUGUAUCCAACGUAUUAUUUGAGCCACUGGUCUAUAUACAAGGUAUUAUUUGAGGACACGACGUUGCCACGUUGUAAUGGAUUUAUUUUUGUUUUUUGAAAAAAAAGGUGAAAAUAAGGGCAAAGGAACACUGUAAUUGCAUACGCUGUACUUGCAGGGUUAUAUUUUUCUUUUUAACCGUGCGGCCGAAGGCCGCACGGGAAUUUUGAAAAUCGAGAGGGGGAUACCAGUCCCUCGUCCCCAAAUAAUACAUUAAAUGGAUUUAUAUAUAUAUAUAUAUAUAACAAACUUUAGGAUAUACAUACAUAUAUAUAUUAUAUUAUAUGUAUUAAUAUAUAUUUGAACUCUAUCUAAUGAUAAUAUUUGUUACUGAAGAUAAUCAUUGAAUCUCAAUCAAUUUAAUAAUGCGCUUCUUUUAUUGGUACAGAUGCAAUACUUUUAUAAACACUAUUAUGAAUACUAUUACAAUAUAACUAUUAUUUAAUUGAAUUUCCAUGUGCUUUUUGUGUGUUAAUUAUUCGUCUUUGAACUGUUCAUCAUUGUCAGUAAUUAAUGCACAAUGGCCCAACAGAUACAUGUAAAAUACAAAUGAACACAUGGUGUUUACUGAUAAUUAAUUAAUUAAUAAUUAAUUAAUUAAUAAUUCAAUAAAAAUAAAGAAAUAUUUUUAUAAGUAUA
Molecule: unclassified non-coding RNA, 4745 nt
Filed under: Chelonus insularis
Lineage: Eukaryota; Metazoa; Arthropoda; Insecta; Hymenoptera; Braconidae
Description: aminopeptidase N-like, transcript variant X1
Source: RNAcentral